RNAcentral lists this long non-coding RNA (846 nucleotides) under Canis lupus familiaris (dog). RNAcentral's name for it is "lncRNA (ENSCAFG00845022228.1)". The record is from RNAcentral. Lineage: Eukaryota; Metazoa; Chordata; Mammalia; Carnivora; Canidae.
CAGAGAUCUAAAGAACAAAGGGGAGUUCCACGGGCAGAGAUUGGGAAAUUCCAUUUCCAUUGGAGGCACAGCCCAGCCCAGCAUGGAGCAGAAGCAGGAGGAGGCGGGGUGUUGGGUGCUGGGGAGACAGAAGGGGCAGAGGAGGAAAGACCCGCAGCAGGCAGAUCACUGGGAAGGGUAGCGGCUUGAAGCCGAGUGGGGGCGGGGGGACAGAAGGACUCAGCCUCAGGUGGACCGCCUGCAAUCAGGAGGCCUGAGGUACACUAGGGCGGUGUCGGCCACUGGGAGGAAGGGCCAGUGGCCCCAGAGCAGGUGGAGACGCCCAGAGGGGCUGGAGCAGUGCUCACAAGGUUCGUCUCUGGCACCAGCACUGCUUCCUACUCAGAGUCCAGAGGACGUGGACACCGGGUCCUGCUGACCCUCGGCUCCUGUCCCCAGCCCACCCCCAACUCAUGAUCCUGCAGCUUUGGGCACCCGGAGCUCUAUGAACCCAACUACUACAGGACGCACACCAGCUUCCAGGUCACAUGACCCAAUUAGGGCCAAGGCCCUGCUGAACUUGCUUGUUUGCUCCUGAGUUUCUGUGUUUCGAAGACAACAAUUCUAACACAUUCCCUAAGGCUCAGGUCUCUCAGGCAUCAAUCUUGGAUCAUAAUACGAUUCCAACUCUGGUGCCCAGGGCCCGGCUGGGGCCCAGCGGGACGGCAGGAGGAAAGAGGGAGGCCCACGCUUCUCCUCCCAAGUGGCUGGUGUCCACCGGGCUCCCUCUCAGCCUCACACUCUGCGUCCCUCUGGGUGUCCUCGUGCAGGCCCGUGGCUUCCAACACCUCCUGGACACAAACCAUG